GACAGAGGCCUCGAGCGUUAGGCGGAAUCACUGGGCUUAAAGCGUGUGUAGGCGGAUCGUUAAGUGCCUUGUGAAAUCCCACGGCCUAACUGUGGAACGGCUGGGCAUACUGGCGGUCUUGAGCCAUCUAGGGGCGACUGGAACAAACGGUGGAGCGGUGAGAUGCGUAGAUAUCGUUUGGAACGCCAAUGGUGAAAACAGGUCGCUGGGGAUGUGCUGACGCUGAGACACGAAAGCCAGGGGAGCAAACGGG
RNAcentral lists this ribosomal RNA (253 nucleotides) under uncultured bacterium. RNAcentral's name for it is "partial 16S ribosomal RNA". It matches the Rfam family "Bacterial small subunit ribosomal RNA", at positions 524 to 776 of the family's 1533-position model. The record is from RNAcentral.